Molecule: ribosomal RNA, 569 nt
Filed under: uncultured bacterium
Lineage: Bacteria
Description: bacterial SSU rRNA
Rfam family: Bacterial small subunit ribosomal RNA
Source: RNAcentral
CCUACGGGAGGCAGCAGUGGGGAAUAUUGCACAAUGGGCGCAAGCCUGAUGCAGCGACGCCGCGUGAGGGAUGACGGCCUUCGGGUUGUAAACCUCUUUCAGUAGGGAAGAAGCGAAAGUGACGGUACCUGCAGAAGAAGCGCCGGCUAACUACGUGCCAGCAGCCGCGGUAAUACGUAGGGCGCAAGCGUUAUCCGGAAUUAUUGGGCGUAAAGAGCUCGUAGGCGGUUUGUCGCGUCUGCCGUGAAAGUCCGGGGCUCAACUCCGGAUCUGCGGUGGGUACGGGCAGACUAGAGUGAUGUAGGGGAGACUGGAAUUCCUGGUGUAGCGGUGAAAUGCGCAGAUAUCAGGAGGAACACCGAUGGCGAAGGCAGGUCUCUGGGCAUUAACUGACGCUGAGGAGCGAAAGCAUGGGGAGCGAACAGGAUUAGAUACCCUGGUAGUCCAUGCCGUAAACGUUGGGCACUAGGUGUGGGGGACGAUUCCACGUUUUCCGCGCCGUAGCUAACGCAUUAAGUGCCCCGCCUGGGGAGUACGGCCGCAAGGCUAAAACUCAAAGGAAUUGACGG